UUGACCUCGGAUCAGGUAGGAAUACCCGCUGAACUUAAGCAUAUCAAUAAGCGGAGGAAAAGAAACCAACAGGGA
This 75-nucleotide ribosomal RNA is filed under the name Cordyceps imagamiana. Its description in RNAcentral is "partial 26S ribosomal RNA". It matches the Rfam family "Eukaryotic large subunit ribosomal RNA", at positions 1 to 74 of the family's 3401-position model. The record is from RNAcentral. Lineage: Eukaryota; Fungi; Ascomycota; Sordariomycetes; Hypocreales; Cordycipitaceae.